RNAcentral lists this ribosomal RNA (497 nucleotides) under uncultured bacterium. Its description in RNAcentral is "partial 16S ribosomal RNA". It matches the Rfam family "Bacterial small subunit ribosomal RNA", at positions 28 to 507 of the family's 1533-position model. The record is from RNAcentral.
GAUGAACGCUGGCGGCGUGCCUAAUACAUGCAAGUCGAGCGAACAGACGAGGAGCUUGCUCCUUUGACGUUAGCGGCGGACGGGUGAGUAACACGUGGGUAACCUACCUAUAAGACUGGGAUAACUUCGGGAAACCGGAGCUAAUACCGGAUAAUAUUUCGAACCGCAUGGUUCGAUAGUGAAAGAUGGCUUUGCUAUCACUUAUAGAUGGACCUGCGCCGUAUUAGCUAGUUGGUAGGGUAACGGCUUACCAAGGCAACGAUACGUAGCCGACCUGAGAGGGUGAUCGGCCACACUGGAACUGAGACACGGUCCAGACUCCUACGGGAGGCAGCAGUAGGGAAUCUUCCGCAAUGGGCGAAAGCCUGACGGAGCAACGCCGCGUGAGUGAUGAAGGUCUUCGGAUCGUAAAACUCUGUUAUUAGGGAAGAACAAACGUGUAAGUAACUGUGCACGUCUUGACGGUACCUAAUCAGAAAGCCAUGGCUAACUACGUG